This 506-nucleotide ribosomal RNA is filed under the name uncultured Glomeromycotina. RNAcentral's name for it is "SSU rRNA". It matches the Rfam family "Eukaryotic small subunit ribosomal RNA", at positions 569 to 1078 of the family's 1831-position model. Lineage: Eukaryota; Fungi; Glomeromycota. The record is from RNAcentral.
AGCAGCCGCGGUAAUUCCAGCUCCAAUAGCGUAUAUUAAAGUUGUUGCAGUUAAAAAGCUCGUAGUUGAAUUUCGGGAUCAAUAUAUCGGUCGUGCCUCCGGUAUGCACUGGUAUUAUUGAUUUCUACCUUCUGACGAAUCAUGAUGUCAUUAAUUUGGUGUCAUGGGGAAUCAGGACUGUUACUUUGAAAAAUUAGAGUGUUUAAAGCAGGCACACGCUUGAAUACAUUAGCAUGGAAUAAUGAAAUAGGACGUUUGACCCUAUUUUGUUGGUUUCUAGGAUCGACGUAAUGAUUAAUAGGGAUAGUUGGGGGCAUUAGUAUUCAAUUGUCAGAGGUGAAAUUCUUGGAUUUAUUGAAGACUAACUACUGCGAAAGCAUUUGCCAAGGAUGUUUUCAUUAAUCAAGAACGAAAGUUAGGGGAUCGAAGACGAUCAGAUACCGUCGUAGUCUUAACCAUAAACUAUGCCGACUAGGGAUCGGAUGAUGUUAAUUUUUAAUGACUCU